RNAcentral lists this long non-coding RNA (4093 nucleotides) under Pomacea canaliculata. RNAcentral's name for it is "uncharacterized LOC112574856, transcript variant X1". The record is from RNAcentral. Lineage: Eukaryota; Metazoa; Mollusca; Gastropoda; Architaenioglossa; Ampullariidae.
CAUGAUGGUUAGCAUGACAGACAGUAUUGCCAGGCAGUUAAGAUAGUAAUUCAGGGACAGUACUUUGUGAACAGAUAUGUGUUCACAGAGCGUGUGAAUGUAGCCUUGUAGUCCGAGUGGCGAGUUGUGCGGUUUACAGUGUCAAAGGCUACACACAGCAGGAGCGUGGGAUCCAGAAACAUGUUGUCAGAGAAUUUGUUUGUGGUGUUGGGAGUUGGUCUACACAAACACAGAAGAUGAACUUCUUUGUGUGGCAAUGAAAGUCUUGCAUUAACAAUCUCAUCAGCGCCAUCAGUGAGCCACGUUUCAGUCACUAACAUAAUGUCCAGAUGACUGUCACUGAUAAGCUGUGCGAUCUCUCUUCUCAUCGCCUGCUGUGUGGAUGACACAGACCGUGAACAAGCUGCAGACGUCGCACAGCGAGGAGCCGCCAUCCUUUCAUCCGUUUUUAGUCUUAAUAGUGAGUCUCCAUGUCUUAGUACUAUACAUUAUAAAAUUGCUCUUACAAGACACUUAACUUUAAAUAAGUAUUUCAAAAUGACUAGACAGGAAAAAAAAAUUAUUCAAAAGAAAAUAAAUUAGUUUAGUUUAAUCCUUGUUACUAUUCGAGGACCAGAGGGGCGCCAGAAAAUGAAUUUCGCUUUUAUUUUUUGACUUUUAUGGAUUAUUCAGAAAUUUAUGUAAAAUCGAUGUCUAUACCAAAGAAGCGUUUAAAAUUCAUUGCCUGCAUGAAAACUUCAAUGCUGUUAAGCAGUUUGUUUUUUUUUUCUCUCUUUUUUGUUGUUGUCCGGUUAUUGUAAUAUCACAUCGAUUUCGCGCAUUCUGUGUGAAAAUAAAUACCUUGGCUGAAUUAUGUGAAGAUUUUUGUGAAAUACGAUAUUUUGUAUUGUUUUUCUAACAAUAAAUGAAGCUUUGUUGCUGUUUUCGUAAUUUUAAUGUUUAUUAAGGCUUCAACACGUUGAAAUUUAUCAGGGCUUCUGCUAAGGCUAAAUUCUUUGGGGUCCCAGGGACCCUUUCUUCAGAUUUUUAAGUGGUCCCUGUUCUUCCCCCGCAUUUGAAGGGGACCUCAUUGACGAAAAUUGAAGGGGUCCUCCAAACUUUUAAUGCGUACUGUAUGCAAUUUUUUGCGUAAGCAGAAGCCCUGCAUUUAUAUUCCUUUUUACCAAUUGUAGCAGAAAAGACAGGAAAAAACCUUUUCAUAUGCCUCGGAUUAGUGCAUAUCAUUUUUCUGAGCUAGUGGAAUGGAACUAGAAAACUCAAAAACACAGACCAUUAUAUAAUGUAUUAAGUGUCUGUGUCAGCUGAUUGUAAUCAUGGCACUUCAGUAUCACAGAAUUAAUUUCACCAGGUUGUGUGGUCCGGCGACAGCAGUGACUGCACCAUGCUCAUCUUCCCCUCGUCUGUGUAUCAGACCAUGGUGGUAUGGUGCUUAGUGUAAAAUGUUUUCUGCUCUAAUAAAACUGUUACCAGAGAAAGUUUGUGUCUCAAACAGAGCGCCUCCUAGACUACUAUUGCUUGGAACACCUGGCACAGGUAGAAACAUUUAGCUGCUGAUGGUGGGUUCAAAACGGUUACGACGUUUACAUUGUUAGUACUUGGUGGGGGAGUGUUGCAGCAUGCAUCCUGCUGUGUCAUCUGGUGCUAAACACUCGGCAAUAAACAGUUGUAAAGUAUGGUCAACUACAUCUCCUGCAGCAUGAGUUUGAUGACGAGAAAAAGAGAGAAGAAUGCCGUCAACGAUUUGUCACAGGCGGCAAAGGAAGGGUCGGAGUAGGUCAUCAACAAUAAAGUUGUGCACGAAAACAAGUUUUUACCUGAAACUUAUUUUCCAUCUGCAGGCAAGUAAGCGAUCUACAGACAAAAUGUACUUAAAGAAAUGUGCAUUAUUGGGAUAAUUAAAUGCUUAAUUGCAUGUUUUGCAUAUCUCUUUAACUUUCCUUUUACUUGAAAACCUAUAUAUAUAAUUUUUAACAUUAUUUUAUGAGUUCCUGUUUUAUAAUAUGUGAAAUGUUUGAGGCUAUAUAACUUGUACUGUCUUUUGUCAUUUAUAUAUAUAUACACUACAGAUUACCCAGACAAUAGACGACAUUGUUUAACCCCAGGUAGUCUUCCCACCCUAUCUGUGUGUUCGUGGACACACUUGACUUUGCUGUUUUUCUAUACCUUAAACGCAUCUGAUGCAGGAAUGUAUUUCUUGUGUUUACCCACAAACACCAAAUGUACUUCAAUUUCUCUGACACGACUUGUUAAUUCACAUUGCGACUAUAAUGCCGAGUUUUAUGUUUUUCAGGAACAUCAAAUGUCUUUGGAGUUCAUAUUAUGUGUUAAUUGUACACACUCGGGGUGUCGUAGUUAUAAAUAUCUUGAACAUGGAAAUACUCAUCGGUGUCGCUGAAUAAUAAAUAUUCUGUUAAUAGCGCACACACACACACAAUACAGACAAACAAACACAAACGGCCUGAAACCAUUUUUAAUUCCCACCAACAAAAAUUACACAGAAACAGAAACAACAUAGACAUUAUAGAGACAGACAGGAUUCUCCACAAGUGGAAAGGCGGUUUUAAAGUAGGACAUAAAACGAAAAUCCUCUCGAUCACAUGCAAGUCUGUAAACAGCUUCAUCUGAUGACACAUUCAUCUUUUUCUGUGUUCUUUACGUUUAGUUGACAAAAAGGGGACGCAAAUCUUAGAUAAAAUGCUCAUAGGAUUCUCCUGUUAUCACCCCUUUAAUUAAUAAGUAUAUUGUAUAAAGCUGGUGGAAAUUACACUUAUGACAAAAAAACCUAUUCGAAUCUUCAGAAAUCCCAAAUAACUAUGAGACAGACCAGGGAAGAAGUUGCAAAAAAAAAAAAAAAAUCAUUCUUAUUAUUUAAAAUCCACCUUGGGGAGUAGUUGUGAUGAUGUCUACAGUUUUGGGAAAUCCCGCUAGCGUAGACCUUGUUACACUGACUGGCAUCCUGACCUGACCUCUGACCUUUGUUUUAUAAGACCAAGAGAAGCAGCUGCACGGUGACGUGGCCGGAAGGUUCUCGUCUGUAAGUUGUGUGAUGUCACAAACAUUAGGCGGCGGUGUCUCCUACCCUCUCCUUCGCUCGUUUCUCUCGUACUUGGUGAGGCGGUGAGGCGUGAAGGACUAAACUUGCACCUGAAUUACAAUAGCAAGCAGCAAAGGGGCAACAGUGUAGCAACAUCAUGUCAAGCAAAAGAGGACAUCGACGACAUCGACAGUCCACUCAGGAAACAUCAUCUGCAUCGAAACUGGUAGAGGUAGUCAUGAAAUGUAGCAGCAACAGGUUCGCCUGGUACAAGUGAUCAGCUAGUACCAGUCAAAGGAUGGAUGGAUGAUGAUGAUGAUGAUGAUGAUGAUGAUGAUGUUGAUGAUGAUUGAUGAUGAUUGAUAAUGAGGAUGAUGCAGCUAAAAAAUUAAGCAAAAUAACCAUGUUGACCUCGUCUGGGAUAUGUUUGCAAUGAUUAAUCAAAUUUAAUUGAGUUAAGUGUAAAUUAAAUAAUUCUGAUAUAUUUAUUAUUAGUUUUCUUACAAGUUACAUUACAAUUGUUCCAUGAAGUAUGAAAUAUUUAAAAAUCACCAAGACUGCGUUAUUGGCAACAGAAUCUGUUAAACUUUCCCCUUCUUUGAAACCUCCUAAAGUUGGUUUUUACCUUCAUAAUAGUAGUUCCAUUUUAUUUUUACUCAGUUUGUCAUGAGCUGAAUUCCACUUCUUUGAACUUUUUUUCUCUACCUACUGUUAUAUCUUAAUAUUUGGGGGAAAUCACCAGCAGCAGUAGCAGUUUUUUAAUACUUGUUUAAUGUUAUCUUAUUGUCAUCACACAUGUGCAGUCUAAGCGUGGGAAGGAGGAAAGCCGCAGUGAGCCUCGACAACCAGCUUCAGAACCUGUCUUGUGUACUCAUGUCACGACCGGUAGUCGGACAUUGCGCAUUCUUUACAAAGAACGACAAGAGAUCACUUCAGUUUGAGACGUUCGGUUAUUUAUUUUCAGGGAUGGGCAAGCUACUUUUAAUUUGUAGCCGGCUAGGCUACAGCUACUUUUUUUCAAAAUGUAGCCGGCUACACUACAGCUACAAUUUUCCAAAA